AACUGGAAUCCAGGCACCAAAACGUGAAUUUGCGGUUGUCAUUUUGUGUCAGAUGCUGUGCAAUUUGUCAUCUUGAGGACUGCAGAAAUCUUCCCUCGUGGACAGACUGACUCACAGAAAAUACCUCCUGUCUGUGUGCUGUAUUCUGCUCAGGUGGAGAGAGAGGUACCAUCUCUUCAGCAUCCUGUGUCGUGUACAAAAAGAAACAACAGUGAAAUUAUACGUGAAAUACAUCAAUUACAUGUGAUAACUGUUGGAAUGUUGGAAACCUACACAAGAACUUUAUAGAAGAGUUGAAAUACUGAAAGAGAUGCACGCAUGUACACUUUGAUUCGAGUCAGUGUCACAGGAUUUGUUUUCAUGUGAAUCCAUAAAUCAAUUGAAAUUUGAUAUCUGUCUGUACCCCACUCUGCUGCCACACUGUCUGAAUAAAGUGACAAAAGAGGGUGAACUGACUGCUCUCCUUAAAAAUAAA
This is a long non-coding RNA of Anguilla anguilla (European eel), 475 nucleotides long. RefSeq lists it as uncharacterized. The record is from RefSeq and is a predicted model, not a curated record. NCBI's taxonomy places the organism in Eukaryota, Metazoa, Chordata, Actinopteri, Anguilliformes, Anguillidae. The transcript is spliced from 2 exons.